AUGAACGCUGGCGGCAUGCCUAACACAUGCAAGUCGAACGAGAAUCUAUGGAUAGAGGAUUCGUCCAAUUGAAAUAGAGGACAGUGGCGAACGGGUGAGUAAUGCAUGAGCAACCUGCCCUUCAGAGGGGGACAACAGUUGGAAACGACUGCUAAUACCGCAUAACAUUUUGGGAAGGCAUCUUCCUAAAAUCAAAGAUUUAUCGCUGAAGGAUGGGCUCAUGUCUGAUUAGCUAGUUGGCGGGGUAACGGCCCACCAAGGCUGCGAUCAGUAGCCGGUCUGAGAGGAUGAACGGCCACAUUGGGACUGAGAUACGGCCCAGACUCCUACGGGAGGCAGCAGUGGGGAAUAUUGGGCAAUGGGCGCAAGCCUGACCCAGCAAUGCCGCGUGAAGGAAGAAGGCCCUCGGGUUGUAAACUUCUUUUAUCAGGGACGAAGGAUGUGACGGUACCUGAUGAAUAAGCUCCGGCUAACUACGUG
RNAcentral lists this ribosomal RNA (480 nucleotides) under uncultured Oscillospiraceae bacterium. RNAcentral's name for it is "bacterial SSU rRNA". It matches the Rfam family "Bacterial small subunit ribosomal RNA", at positions 29 to 507 of the family's 1533-position model. The record is from RNAcentral. Lineage: Bacteria; Bacillati; Bacillota; Clostridia; Eubacteriales; Oscillospiraceae.